UACGUAGGGGGCAAGCGUUGUCCGGAUUUAUUGGGCGUAAAGAGCGUGUAGGCGGCUUGGUAGGUCUGCUGUGAAAACUCGAGGCUCAACCUCGAGACGUCGAUGGAAACCGUAUGGCUAGAGUCCGGAAGAGGAGAGUGGAAUUCCUGGUGUAGCGGUGAAAUGCGCAGAUAUCAGGAAGAACACCCGUGGCGAAGGCGGCUCUCUGGGACGGUACUGACGCUGAGACGCGAAAGCGUGGGGAGCGAACAGG
RNAcentral lists this ribosomal RNA (253 nucleotides) under uncultured bacterium. Its description in RNAcentral is "partial 16S ribosomal RNA". It matches the Rfam family "Bacterial small subunit ribosomal RNA", at positions 524 to 776 of the family's 1533-position model. The record is from RNAcentral.